RNAcentral lists this long non-coding RNA (1008 nucleotides) under Ailuropoda melanoleuca (giant panda). Its description in RNAcentral is "lncRNA (ENSAMEG00000030267.1)". Lineage: Eukaryota; Metazoa; Chordata; Mammalia; Carnivora; Ursidae. The record is from RNAcentral.
AUGGCGUGCACCAUGCGAGAGACCUGCAAGGGCAGGGCAGGUCAGUGUGCGCGGGGACGCGGGAGUGGGACUCCGACCGCGGGCGGCACCCACCUUCUCCUUCUCCACCAGGGACGGGAUGAAACUGCGCUUGUCGGCGGGUCGGUUGGUCACCGGGUGGAUCAUUGGGUCCCCGCUGAAGAAGUCCACAGCCGGCUGGGGGCACAAGCGGACAUGUGGGCCAGGGCCCUGCAGCUGCCCCCCCACACCCAGGGCGAGCUGCUGCCACCUACCUCAUACGGAUCGAAGCCCCCGUCCCCAAACUGCCCCCUCUGCAGCCGCCGCACCAGGGCCACCUGCUCGUCCGUCAGCCGCACGUCGUGCCCCGUCAUCCGGUCCUGCACCGUGCGCCUGGGGGGAGGGGGCGCCCGUCAGAGCCAAGCCCGAAGCCCCCCGCCCCCCCCAGGCCCCGCUCCGAGCCUACGCACCAGUAAUCAGGGUUGUCCAUCUUGUCCAGAAACUGGUCCAGCUCGUCACGGGUCCGCAGGGGCUUGUAGAUGCGCCUGCCGUCCAGGUCAUAGCCCACGUGGGGGAAGUCAUCGUACCACUCCAGGGGCACAUUGCCCACCGUGUUCCGGAUGUCCUGGGGCAGCAGGCCAGCGUGUUAGCAUCAGGCACCCACCAUGCCCACUCCUCCCUUCAAGCUCCCCCAGAGUCACAGGCAAGGGCGGGGGAAACCAGCGAGAGCAAAGGGAUGGGCCUCGAGGCUGGUGGGACGGGACCCGGGCACCCCGACACAUGCCCUCUCCCUGGGGUGUGACGUGGCACGACGGCCAGUGCUGCCCCCCCCCCACAACUGGCCCUCAGAGGCGCCGGAGCUGUACCUUCACAUUUUCCACUGAAGUGGUGCCAACCCCAGAGCCUCCCCCCUGGAUUCCUUGGCCAGGACUCUGGGCAGCCACAGACAAGGGUGACCUCAUCGCCCAUGGGCUCCCUCCCCUGGUGGGGGCCUUAGGCGAAAAUGGGUAG